AGGGGUACAGCUCAGUAGUAGAGCAUGUGCUUAGCAUGCACAAGGUCCUGGGCUCAAUAUCCAGCACCCCCA
This 72-nucleotide transfer RNA is filed under the name Heterocephalus glaber (naked mole-rat). It matches the Rfam family "tRNA". From Rfam's summary of the family: Transfer RNA (tRNA) molecules are approximately 80 nucleotides in length. Their secondary structure includes four short double-helical elements and three loops (D, anti-codon, and T loops). Lineage: Eukaryota; Metazoa; Chordata; Mammalia; Rodentia; Bathyergidae. The record is from Rfam by way of RNAcentral.